This 218-nucleotide long non-coding RNA is filed under the name Brassica rapa (field mustard). Its description in RNAcentral is "long non-coding RNA (BRAP_LNC005037)". Lineage: Eukaryota; Viridiplantae; Streptophyta; Magnoliopsida; Brassicales; Brassicaceae. The record is from RNAcentral.
ACGACCCAUUUUCCCAAUUUUCUCCACUUGCAAACCUUCACUUAAGUAUAGUAGUACUUUGAACUCUUUGUGCUUGCUAACGAGUAACGGGAUAACAUAAACAAAUAUCAUCCUUUAUUAAAAAAAAAAAACUUCCUUGGUAUAUGCAAAAUCGCCAAAAAAAACAUUUGAAGCCAGACUAAGAUAAUCCAUGUAGGAGGAACCGUCGUAAGAUUUCC